UACGGAGGGAGCUAGCGUUGUUCGGAAUUACUGGGCGUAAAGCGCACGUAGGCGGCUUUGUAAGUUAGAGGUGAUAGCCUGGAGCUCAACUCCAGAAUUGCCUUUAAGACUGCAUCGCUUGAAUCCAGGAGAGGUGAGUGGAAUUCCGAGUGUAGAGGUGAAAUUCGUAGAUAUUCGGAAGAACACCAGUGGCGAAGGCGUCUCACUGGACUGGUAUUGACGCUGAGGUGCGAAAGCGUGGGGAGCAAACAGGAUUAGAUACCUGGUAGUC
RNAcentral lists this ribosomal RNA (271 nucleotides) under uncultured Sphingomonadales bacterium. RNAcentral's name for it is "partial 16S ribosomal RNA". It matches the Rfam family "Bacterial small subunit ribosomal RNA", at positions 524 to 795 of the family's 1533-position model. The record is from RNAcentral. Lineage: Bacteria; Pseudomonadati; Pseudomonadota; Alphaproteobacteria; Sphingomonadales.